AUGAUGGUGAUUAUAAGCAACUCUGUUAAUAUAUUUUUAAAAUAUUUUUUAUAGUUCAAUAUACAAUAGAAUUUCAAAAAUUUAGUUUGCUGCAUAUACAUAUAUUACUUUGAUUGGGUUUGGAGCACAAAUAUCCAAUAGCAAUAGAUAUAAAUUUAAUAAUAUGUAUUAAGUUACUUGAUAAAUUUUCUGAUCCUUUUGGGUAUGAAUGUAUUAUAAAGUUUUUGAUGCAUAAUCCAUGUGGAUUAGAAAAUAUGAAAUCUCUAUGCAUGACCAA
RNAcentral lists this long non-coding RNA (277 nucleotides) under Elaeis guineensis (African oil palm). RNAcentral's name for it is "long non-coding RNA (EGUI_LNC020616)". The record is from RNAcentral. Lineage: Eukaryota; Viridiplantae; Streptophyta; Magnoliopsida; Arecales; Arecaceae.